This 446-nucleotide ribosomal RNA is filed under the name uncultured bacterium. RNAcentral describes it as "SSU rRNA". It matches the Rfam family "Bacterial small subunit ribosomal RNA", at positions 26 to 518 of the family's 1533-position model. The record is from RNAcentral.
AGAGCGAACGCUGGCGGCAGGCCUAAUACAUGCAAGUCGAACGGAUCCUUCGGGAUUAGUGGCGGACGGGUGAGUAACACGUGGGAACGUGCCCUUUGGUUCGGAACAACUCAGGGAAACUUGAGCUAAUACCGGAUGUGCCCUUCGGGGGAAAGAUUUAUCGCCAUUGGAGCGGCCCGCGUCUGAUUAGCUAGUUGGUAGGGUAAAGGCCUACCAAGGCUUCGAUCAGUAGCUGGUCUGAGAGGAUGAUCAGCCACACUGGGACUGAGACACGGCCCAGACUCCUACGGGAGGCAGCAGUAGGGAAUCUUGCGCAAUGGGCGAAAGCCUGACGCAGCCAUGCCGCGUGAAUGAUGAAGGUCUUAGGAUUGUAAAAUUCUUUCAGCGGGGACGAUAAUGACGGUACCCGCAGAAGAAGCCCCGGCUAACUUCGCGCCAGCAGCCGC